GAUGAACGCCGGCGGUGUGCCUAAUACAUGCAAGUCGUACGCACUGGCCCAACUAAUUGAUGGUGCUUGCACCUGAUUGACGAUGGAUCACCAGUGAGUGGCGGACGGGUGAGUAACACGUAGGUAACCUGCCCCGGAGCGGGGGAUAACAUUUGGAAACAGAUGCUAAUACCGCAUAACAACAAAAGCCGCAUGGCUUUUGUUUGAAAGAUGGCUUUGGCUAUCACCCUGGGAUGGACCUGCGGUGUAUUAGAUAGUUGGUGGGGUAACGGCUCACCAAGUCGACGAUACAUAGGGGGACUGAGAGGUUAACCCCCCACAUUGGUACUGAGACACGGACCAA
RNAcentral lists this ribosomal RNA (343 nucleotides) under uncultured bacterium. RNAcentral's name for it is "bacterial SSU rRNA". It matches the Rfam family "Bacterial small subunit ribosomal RNA", at positions 28 to 334 of the family's 1533-position model. The record is from RNAcentral.